UGAACGCUGGCGGCGUGCUUAACACAUGCAAGUCGCACGAGAACGCUUCAGCUUGCUGAAGUUAGUAAAGUGGCGCACGGGUGAGUAACGCGUGGGUAAUCUACCCUCGAAUUGGGGAUAACAUCGCGAAAGCGAUGCUAAUACCGAAUAAUAUCUUAAAAAUCUCGAUUUUAAAGAUCAAAGGAGGCCUCUACAUGUAAGCUUCUGUUUGAGGAUGAGCCCGCGUACCAUUAGCUUGUUGGUAGGGUAAUGGCCUACCAAGGCUACGAUGGUUAGCUGGUCUGAGAGGAUGAUCAGCCACACUGGAACUGACACACGGUCCAGACUCCUACGGGAGGCAGCAGUGAGGAAUUUUGCGCAAUGGGGGAAACCCUGACGCAGCAACGCCGCGUGAGUGAUGAAGGCUUUCGGGUCGUAAAGCUCUGUCAAGUGGGAAGAACCCACAUGGUGUUAAUACCGCCAUGUGUUGACGGUACCACUGAAGGAAGCACCGGCUAACUCC
This 502-nucleotide ribosomal RNA is filed under the name uncultured bacterium. RNAcentral's name for it is "bacterial SSU rRNA". It matches the Rfam family "Bacterial small subunit ribosomal RNA", at positions 30 to 504 of the family's 1533-position model. The record is from RNAcentral.